RNAcentral lists this ribosomal RNA (255 nucleotides) under uncultured bacterium. RNAcentral's name for it is "partial 16S ribosomal RNA". It matches the Rfam family "Bacterial small subunit ribosomal RNA", at positions 524 to 780 of the family's 1533-position model. The record is from RNAcentral.
UACAGAGGUCCCGAGCGUUGUUCGGAUUCACUGGGCGUAAAGGGUGCGCAGGUGGGUUGGCAAGUUUGAUGUGAAGCCCCGGGCUUAACCCGGGAAUGGCAUUGAAUACUGCUGAUCUGGAGGAUCGGAGGGGGACUGGAAUUCUUGGUGUAGCAGUGAAAUGCGUAGAUAUCAAGAGGAACACCAGUGGCGAAGGCGAGUCCUGGACGAUACCUGACAGCUGAGGCACGAAAGCCAAGGCAGCAAACAGGAUUA